Molecule: ribosomal RNA, 200 nt
Filed under: uncultured bacterium
Lineage: Bacteria
Description: partial 16S ribosomal RNA
Rfam family: Bacterial small subunit ribosomal RNA
Source: RNAcentral
AGAGUUUGAUCAUGGCUCAGAACGAACGCUGGCGGCGCGCCUAACACAUGCAAGUCGAACGCGAAAGAGGGGCAACCCUUGAGUAAAGUGGCGCACGGGUGAGUAACGCGUAGGUGAUCUAGCUCUGCGACUAGGAUAACCAGCCGAAAGGUUGGCUAAUACUAGAUAGAGCGCAGCCAUUAUAAGGGUGGUUGCGGGAA